This 523-nucleotide ribosomal RNA is filed under the name uncultured bacterium. RNAcentral describes it as "bacterial SSU rRNA". It matches the Rfam family "Bacterial small subunit ribosomal RNA", at positions 355 to 896 of the family's 1533-position model. The record is from RNAcentral.
UGGGGAAUCUUGCACAAUGGGGGCAACCCUGAUGCAGCGACGCCGCGUGAGCGAUGAAGCCCUUCGGGGUGUAAAGCUCUUUCGGCAGGGAAGAUUAUGACGGUACCUGCAGAAGCAGCUGCGGCUAACUACGCGCCAGCAGCCGCGGUAAUACGUAGGCAGCAAGCGUUGUUCGGAGUUACUGGGCGUAAAGGGUGCGUAGGCGGCUCUAUAAGUAUGGUGUGAAAUCUCCCGGCUUAACUGGGAGGGUGCGCUAUAAACUGUGGGGCUAGAGUGUGGGAGAGGAAAGUGGAAUUCCUGGUGUAGCGGUGAAAUGCGUAGAUAUCAGGAGGAACACCGGUGGUGUAAACGGCUUUCUGGACCAUAACUGACGCUGAGGCACGAAAGCGUGGGUAGCAAACAGGAUUAGAUACCCUGGUAGUCCACGCCCUAAACGAUGCAUAUUUGGUGUGGGUCAUUCAGUUGAUCCGUGCCGGAGCUAACGCGUUAAAUAUGCCGCCUGGGGAGUACAGUCGCAAGGCUG